GAAACGCUGGACCGAGAGCCGUGGUGACAACCUGGGGACACCCGCCCUGGAGUGUGGGUGAAAAUACUUAAUUUAACAUCCCCUGUGGUACACACAGAAGUUGGAACCGUCCGUGGCGUCAUUAGUAGGUGACAUGAAAAUUCAUUCGUGGGAUCCCUGUGUGUCGCAGGUUUGGCCCCUGCCUGUGGUCCGGGCGCGAUCCUGGAGAUCCGGGAUCGAAUCCCACGUCGGGCCCCGGUGCAUGGAGCCUGCUUCUCCCUCUGCCUGUGUCUCUGCCUCUCUGUCUCUCUCUCUGUGACUAUCAUGAAUAAAUAAAUAAACUCUUUAAAAAAAUUAAUUCAUUAAAUCGCCUCAAGAAAUCUUGUCCAGGGGCACCUGAGUGUUUCUGUCAGCUAAAUUUCGGCCUCCUGGUUUUCAGCUCUGGUCGUGACCUCAGGGUCUUCAGAUUCUCCCAUAUUCAGCAUGGAGCCUGCUUUGUACUCUCUCUUCCUUUCCCUCUGCCCCUCUCCUCGUUACACUUGCUGUUUUGCUCCCUCCACACACACACAAAAAGAAUCAUUACUCAAUUUUGCUGAAGGUGCCAUACUAAAGACAAAUAUACUAAGCCAUAUUCUUUUGUUUCAUGUGUGAUAAUAUUAAUUUAAAAGGUCAGUCAUUAGUUUGUGUCCAAAAUUAUGAAAUCGCAUUGAGAACUCUAAUUUGUUCAGAUUAAAGGGAAGUGUCGUAAGUUAUCAUUGGGCAUAUUAGUCCGUGUUUUAUAUUAGCAAAUAAAACUCUUAUUGUGUUUUAAUAAAUAGAGCAUAUUCUUGACGUUAAGGUCAGGUUUAUAUCAUAAUGCAGCAUAUAGUAUGAAAAAUUUACCCAUCACCCUAUUGUUUGGCACAAAACGUCCACAGGUAUUCUCACCAACAUCACUGUGGAACAUUUAUUACAAAAAAACGGUGUAGUGAUAUUAUUAUCAUUGACGUCGACCACUUCUAUUAAAGACUGCUCUGCAUUAGGGUGUGUUUUGACAUGUGCAUAAUAUUCUGUAACCCAGGACCCUGGGAUCAUGACACGAGCCAAAGAGAGAUGCUCAACCGAAGGAACCACCCUGCUGACCACAUUAUUAUGGCUUUUAAAUUCGGGUGAAGAUGACCCACAAGGUUACAUCUGUUUCAGGUGUACCACCUAUGAUUGGCACUUACGUUUAUUGAAACUGCACUCACCCCAAGCAUAGAUUCUUUGGGUCCCCAUAGAGCACUAUUACCAUUCCAUUGAUCAUAUUCCCUAUGCUGGACCUUUCACCCUAUGACUGCUUUGAUGUACAUGUGGAAGCCUGCCCUCCUCGCUCUUUUUCACAACUAUGGUUAUUUGUAAAUGGUACACAUUCGGUAUUUAAAUCUCUCCCAUAAUGGUUGAUUUUGAUAACGACAGAUUAAUGAAUAAAAACAACAGAGUAAUAGACUAAAAAAGAACAGAUUGAAGGAUUGCCCAACAUUGCACAAGCCCACCAUCUUUUGACGGUUGAAAUCAAGUGCAAAACCAUACAAGAGACAUGACAGCAUAUGUGGAUCUACAGAGGCAAAAAUGGUUUUGGAAGAGGUCAAGAAGGUAGGAACGUGGAGCUGGGUUUCACAACGAGCUCUAUGAGCGAAGGGAACCCAUCAUUGGAAUCGAUGUGCCCAUCAGUUCUCUUUUACACUGAUUAUUUCAUGAUACUUAAAGUUGCCAUUGCCUUUUUAAAAAAGUUUUUAUUUAUUUGAGAGAGACAGAGAGACAGCAAGAGAGAGCAUAUGCAAGGGAGAAGGGCAGAGGGAAGGGGAGAAGCACAACCCCUUUGAGCAGGGUGCCCAAAGAGGAGAUGGAUCCCAGACCCUGGGACCUUGGCCUGAGCUAAAGGUUUUUCCUCAUCCACCAAUGACGGCCUAGCAGUAGCCUCAUUACCAUGCUGACUUCCCCUGUAUGCAUGUAAACACUGAUCUCACUAAUACCUGAGCACCACAACCAAUGCACUGAUAUUCUGUGUCCUCCUAGAUCUUGCCAAGGCUGUGGCGUCUGAGUUUGAAGAAUCCUUGAAAGACUCUCCACCCACUUCUAUGGGAAGCCUGCCCCACUUUACCUGUAUUUACCUCGUCUCUUGGUGGGGUGUUGGGAGGGGAGGAUGUAAACUGUGCAGUAGGGGACAUUUGCUCAGAAGCACUUUUCCGCCUUGAAUUCUGAAUUUGGAAUUGCUGCUUCCGUCAACCUGGGAGAUCUAUCUCCCAGGAAAAGCUCAUGCUUUCUCCCUGGGUGCAAUCUGUGCUUCCUUUGGGGGCCUUUAACUUUACAACACUUGUUCAUUUGGUGUUCAAUACUCACCAGAGGGUCAAUGACAAAGUACACACACAUGAACUGACCCCCAUCUUCUCCCCUUUUGUGUAACUGCAGGUCGUCUCAGAAAGCAGCGUAACUGGUGUGUAUUCUGGAAUCAGUCUCUUGCUUAGGAAAAACUCUAAAUAGUAAGGCAGAUGGGGCAACCUUGCUGUCCUCACACCCAGACACCCUUGCUGUCCAGGCACCCAGAUUCCAUGUUCCUGAGGCUUGGGAGUGUGUGAGAUAGGCAGCUUUCCCAGUUUCAUCCUUGGAUUCAUUCCUCAUAAAAAAAUUCAUGGAAAACAUCAGUGAGGAAGAACAAAUCAGUAUCGUCAAGAGGAUGUUUACCAUUGGCAACACCAAAGCUGGAAAUAAACAGCGAGAUGGGGUACAUUCCCUCAGCAAUGGUUUCUCCUGCUUGGUUGAGUGAUCCUGUAGUCAGCAUCUGAAUGAGCUGGAGAGACACAUCCUUCAGGAAAAGCAGCUUCCUCCAGGUGGCCUCAGAACUAGUGACAGCAGUACGUACCCUGAAGCAGUCUCUUCCUGUCUUUAGUCAGGAGCGCCAAUCUGAUUCUGGGUCCUCACUGGAAUGAAAAUCACCGGUGUAGUGAAAUAAACAAAAACCAAAACCAGAAAACGGGUCUUCCAGGUGGAGACCCAUGGACAUGUUUUCACAAGCAAAGGGGUAGCAUUCAGAUUGGGCAGUGGAGAAUAUGAGGAUGAAAAUCCUGAAGAGGAAGAAACCUCAGGUCCGGAAGCACAAUGAGGCGGGAAUCAACAGGAGGGGGUCCCUGGUGCAGUUGGAGUAUACCUGCUACUUUGUAGACUGUGAGUGGGCAGGAUGAAAUAAAGAAGACGAUGUAUAGGAAUGCAAUUGUCUUGUUUUUCAUUUAUUGUUUACUUAUUUGAGAGAGAAAGAGGAGAAUGGGAAGGGCGGAGGGAGAGGGAUAUUCAGACCCCGCACUGAACAGGGAGCCUGAUACAGGCCUGAUCCCAGGGUCCUGGGUAAUGAUCCAAGCUGCAGUCAGACACUUAACCUACUGAGCCACGAAAGUGCUCUUCUCUGGUCUAUUCCAUCAUAAACAGUAGGGUAUUUGGAUAAAAUAGUAAGAAGAAUUCUGCCCUGGGAUUGGAUUGUGCAGUUGGUCAUAUUCUUCUUUUUAUUUGACGGUCAUUCUCUGCAGACCAGCUCUGACUCCCUUUGUCACUGGCAAGCAUCAAAGCCCUUGUUGUGUUUGGUUGGCAUCUCUUGGGAAUAGAGCAGGAGACCUUUUGGUUCGGGUUAUUGCCUUUGGUCUUGGAUGGAGCCAAUCUCUUGAUACACAGCUGUGCCACGCCCAUCUGAACUUGUACACAGACAGCUUCCGUGGGAGCCAGGUGCUGGUACAGCCGGGGCCCCACUCCCUCUGCACCUACAGGUCACACAGUAGCAAUGCUGGGCUACCCCCAGUUCUGCCCAAAGGGUGGAAGUGCACUCUAGGGAUGGGCAUCCCUGAAAUGGUCCCUCUCAGCAUCUCCUCCUGGGUCCAGCAGAAGUGAGGUGGGAGGGGUGCCGGGAGCACAGUUCCCUCCUCCCCUCCUCGCACAAUCCUCAGUCCUGGGACAAGAAUAAGAUCUGCACUUGCCUCUGUGUGAGAAGGGAUCCAGUGCAGCCAGCCAAGGCCUUCACUGGGUGCAGGGAAUCUAGAGGAAUCUGUGAAAGCUGCUGGGCUGGCGGCACACGCUUGUGCUCAAGGUCCUGCAGAACUAGCCUCCUGGUCUGACCAGGCCCAGGACACAGGCCCUAGGCAGGGAGGCCAGCAUUUCUGCUCCUGUCUGAUCUCACUGCUAUAGCCACACAGUGCUGGGCCUGCUCCCCACGUCAAGGGUUGGCCCAGCCUAGGACAUUCCCUCAUGCCUGCCUGGAGCCCAUGGCCCAGUCCUUCCAGGGAUCAGGGCAGAUGCUGGCUCGAGCUGGUAUUGAGGAGGCCUCACCUGCUGUACAAACCCCAUCAGCCCACUUUUAAGCUAAGGGAAAUUGGGCAACAUAGUUUACCUCUAGCAUCACAUUCAUCUCCUCUAUGGGCUACGACAUGUAUGGGCUGUUCCAAAGAUUCAGUGUGUCCCAGAUUUAGGAGUCUCAUGGUUUGUCUCCCUCUCUAAUUUUUCCCACUCAAUCCCCCUCCUUUCCCUCAUUAUCUUGUUCCUAUUUCUUCUAUUCCAGGAGGAGAGCACUUGAUGGCAUGAGCACUGGGUGUUACACUAUAUGUUGGCAAACUGAAUUUACCUAAACAUAAAUAAAAUUUUUUUAAAAAGAAUAAAGGUUAAGUUUGUCUCAAGUACCUAAGAUCACCCCACGCAUAAAGCAGUCACAUUAUAAGCCCAGUGGGAUAUCACUCUCAGGGCUACAUGCAACCCCAACCCGUAGGCCCCCAGGCCCAUUGCACCUACUCCAGCAUUGCCUGGAUUGGCUCUUUGAUCAACUGAUUAAGGAGGGGAGCCCCAGGCACUGAGACUGUGGUCUCCUUGUUGCCCUCAAAAGCCAUACAAAAUUUGGAAGGACAGAAAAGCAGGAGACCUCAUUUACCCAGAAAAACACCCCUUUUGAGGUUCUUAUGUUCCUGAGGUUCCAAGCAUCUCCCUGUGUCAUUUCACUCCAUUUGGUAGAAGGUUCUUGCUCAUCAUUUAAUGUCCAAGUUACUUACUGAGGGGAACUGGGUGGCUCCUUCAGGGAAGCAUCUGACUCUUUUUUUUUUUUUAUAAAUUAAUUUUUAUUGGUGUUCAAUUUACCAACAUACAGAAUAACACCCAGUGCUCAUCCCGUCAAGUGUCCCCUUCCGUGCCCGUCACCCAGUCACCCCCACCCCCCGCCCUCCUCCCCUUCUACCACCCCUAGUUCGUUUCCCAGAGUUAGGAGUCUUUAUGUUCUGUGUCCCUUUCUGAUAUCUCCCACACAUUUCUUCUCCCUUCCCCUUCACUAUUAUUCAUAUUCCCCAAAUGAGUGAGAACAUACACUGUUUGUCCUUCUCCGAUUGACUUACUUCACUCAGCAUAAUACCCUCCAGUUCCAUCCACGUUGAAGCAAAUGGUGGGUAUUUGUCGUUUCUAAUGGCUGAGUAUUACUCAGCAUCUGACUCUUGAUUUCAGCUCAGCCCAUUCUCUCAAGAGCCUGAGAUCCAGCCCCUCGUGGGAUUCCUCACUGGGCAUGAAACCUUCCUAGGAUUCUCUGCCUCCCUCUUCCUCAGCCCAUUCAUAUCCAAAUUGGCCUUCCCUCAAACUAUAUUAAAAAUAAUAAACGUGAACUGCAAUAAAAAUUUUUUUAAUGAAAAUAAAUAAAUAUUUGCUCAAUGACUGAUUCUUCCAGUUGUUUACCACCUGCUUGUCUGCCGACUUUGUCUUGUUUUCAUUUUCAUUCACCUUUUGCCUUAAUUCUUUCAAGCUAUCUUUCCUGAACAUAACGUCCUAGGCUCAGAGGUGUUUUCCUUCUAUACUUUGAGUCACCAUUGCAGUGUCUUCUGACCUCUGUUUUCUGAGAAGUCACGGGCCUUGGAAUUCGUAUUCUGUUAGGUUGAAUGUGUCCUUUUCCUCUGCUUUCAAGGUUUUUCUUCCUCUUUGCCAGCAGAUUGGUUACAAUGUGUCAGGAGGAGG
This is a long non-coding RNA of Nyctereutes procyonoides (raccoon dog), 5961 nucleotides long. RefSeq lists it as uncharacterized. The record is from RefSeq and is a predicted model, not a curated record. Lineage: Eukaryota; Metazoa; Chordata; Mammalia; Carnivora; Canidae. The transcript is spliced from 5 exons.